This 253-nucleotide ribosomal RNA is filed under the name uncultured bacterium. RNAcentral's name for it is "partial 16S ribosomal RNA". It matches the Rfam family "Bacterial small subunit ribosomal RNA", at positions 524 to 776 of the family's 1533-position model. The record is from RNAcentral.
UACGUAGGUUCCGAACGUUGUGCGAAUUUAUUGGGCGUAAAGGGUUCGUAGGCGGUUUAGCAAGUGGUUUGUGAAAUUUCACGGCUUAACCGUAAAAAUGCAUUCCAAACUGCUAAACUUGAGGCAGGGAGGGGUAGGCGGAAUUCCCGGUGUAGCGGUGAAAUGCGUAGAGAUUGGGAGGAACACCGGUGGCGAACGCGCCCGGCUGGAACGGUCAUGACGCUGAGGGACGAAAGCUAGGGGAGCAAACCGG